GACGAACGCUGGCGGCGUGCUUAACACAUGCAAGUCGAACGGAAAGGCCCUGCUUUUGUGGGGUGCUCGAGUGGCGAACGGGUGAGUAACACGUGAGUAACCUGCCCUUGACUUUGGGAUAACUUCAGGAAACUGGGGCUAAUACCGGAUAGGAGCUCCUGCUGCAUGGGGGGGGUUGGAAAGUUUCGGCGGUUGGGGAUGGACUCGCGGCUUAUCAGCUUGUUGGUGGGGUAGUGGCUUACCAAGGCUUUGACGGGUAGCCGGCCUGAGAGGGUGACCGGCCACCUUGGGACUGAGAUACGGCCCAGACUCCUACGGGAGGCAGCAGUGGGGAAUAUUGCACAAUGGGCGGAAGCCUGAUGCAGCAACGCCGCGUGCGGGAUGACGGCCUUCGGGUUGUAAACCGCUUUCGCCUGUGACGAAGCGUGAGUGACGGUAAUGGGUAAAGAAGCACCGGCUAACUACGUG
Molecule: ribosomal RNA, 468 nt
Filed under: uncultured bacterium
Lineage: Bacteria
Description: partial 16S ribosomal RNA
Rfam family: Bacterial small subunit ribosomal RNA
Source: RNAcentral